UGCCUACGGGGGGCAGCAGUAGGGAAUCUUCCACAAUGGGCGAAAGCCUGAUGGAGCAACGCCGCGUGGGUGAAGAAGGUCUUCGGAUCGUAAAACCCUGUUGUUAGAGAAGAAAGCGCGUGAGAGUACUGUUCACGUUUCGACGGUAUCUAACCAGAAAGCCACGGCUAACUACGUGCCAGCAGCCGCGGUAAUACGUAGGUGGCAAGCGUUAUCCGGAUUUAUUGGGCGUAAAGGGAACGCAGGCGGUCUUUUAAGUCUGAUGUGAAAGUCUUCGGCUUAACCGGAGUAGU
RNAcentral lists this ribosomal RNA (293 nucleotides) under uncultured bacterium. Its description in RNAcentral is "partial 16S ribosomal RNA". It matches the Rfam family "Bacterial small subunit ribosomal RNA", at positions 335 to 622 of the family's 1533-position model. The record is from RNAcentral.